ACUGAGGUAAUUCUUGAGCUAAUACAUGCGAAAAAUCUCGACUCACGGAGAGAUGCUUUUAUUAGAUCAAAACCAAACGGCUUCGGCUGUUUAACUUUGAUGACUCUGAAUAACUUUGGGCUGAUUGUAUUGCCUUGUGCAGACAACGUUUCCUUCGAAGGUGUGCCCUAUCAACUGUCGACUGUGAUAUAGACGCUCACAGUGGUUUUGACGGGUAACGGGGAAUUAGGGUUCGAUUCCGGAGAGGGAGCCUUAAAAACGGCUACCACAUCCAAGGAAGGCAGCAGGCACGCAGAUUACCCAAUGGUCGAAGACCGAGGUAGUGACGAAAAAUAACAAUACAAGACUCUUCCGAGGCCUUGUAAUUGGAAUGAGUACACUUUAAAACCGUUCCCGAGGAUCUAUUGGAGGGCAAGUCUGGUGCCAGCAGCCGCGGUAAUUCCAGCUCCAAUAGCGUAUAUUAAAGUUGUUGUGGUUAAAAAGCUCGUAGUUGGAUUUCGGCGGGUAGUGGUCGGUUUGAAUUGCUUCAACACUGGCUUUUUUACCCGUGUGUUUUGCCAGAAUUUAACGGGUGAUCUUCGCCGAUUGUCCGUUAGAACUGGCAGGUUUACUUUGAAAAAAUUAGAGUGCUCAAAGCAAGCUUGAUUGCUUGAAUAUUCGUGCAUGGAAUAAUAGAAUAGGAAGUCGUUUCUAUUUUGUUGGUUUUCGGAAAUCGACUUAAUGAUUAAUAGGGAUAGUCGGGGGCAUUUGUAUUCAAACGACAGAGGUGAAAUUCUUGGACCGUUUGAAGACAAACUACUGCGAAAGCAUUUGCCAAGAAUGUUUUCAUUAAUCAAGAACGAAAGUUAGAGGUUCGAAGGCGAUUAGAUACCGCCCUAGUUCUAACCAUAAACGAUGCCAGCUAGCGAUCUGCCGGUGCUUGAUUUUCUGGCCCGGCAGGCAGCUUCCGGGAAACCAAAGCUUGUGGGUUCCAGGGGAAGUAUGGUUGCAAAGCUGAAACUUAAAGGAAUUGACGGAAGGGCACCACCAGGAGUGGAGCCUGUGGCUUAAUUUGACACAACACGGGAAAUCUCACCAGGCCCGGACACCAGAAGGAUUGACAGAUUGAUAGCUCUUUCUUGAUUUGGUGGGUGGUGGUGCAUGGCCGUUCUUAGUUGGUGGAGUGAUUUGUCUGGUUAAUUCCGAUAACGAACGAGACUCUGUCCUGUUAAAUAGAUCCAACCUAGU
Molecule: ribosomal RNA, 1227 nt
Filed under: metagenome
Description: SSU rRNA
Rfam family: Eukaryotic small subunit ribosomal RNA
Source: RNAcentral